UACGUAGGGUGCAAGCGUUGUCCGGAAUUAUUGGGCGUAAAGAGCUCGUAGGCGGUUUGUUGCGUCGGCUGUGAAAUCCCGAGGCUCAACCUCGGGUCUGCAGUCGAUACGGGCAGACUAGAGUUCGGUAGGGGAGACUGGAAUUCCUGGUGUAGCGGUGAAAUGCGCAGAUAUCAGGAGGAACACCGGUGGCGAAGGCGGGUCUCUGGGCCGAUACUGACGCUGAGGAGCGAAAGCGUGGGGAGCGAACAGG
RNAcentral lists this ribosomal RNA (253 nucleotides) under uncultured bacterium. RNAcentral describes it as "partial 16S ribosomal RNA". It matches the Rfam family "Bacterial small subunit ribosomal RNA", at positions 524 to 776 of the family's 1533-position model. The record is from RNAcentral.